RNAcentral lists this ribosomal RNA (487 nucleotides) under uncultured bacterium. RNAcentral describes it as "bacterial SSU rRNA". It matches the Rfam family "Bacterial small subunit ribosomal RNA", at positions 501 to 991 of the family's 1533-position model. The record is from RNAcentral.
CUACGUGCCAGCAGCCGCGGUAAUACGGAAGGUCCAGGCGUUAUCCGGAUUUAUUGGGUUUAAAGGGAGUGUAGGCGGUCUGUUAAGCGUGUUGUGAAAUUUAGGUGCUCAACAUCUACCUUGCAGCGCGAACUGGCGGACUUGAGUGCACGCAACGUAUGCGGAAUUCAUGGUGUAGCGGUGAAAUGCUUAGAUAUCAUGACGAACUCCGAUUGCGAAGGCAGCGUACGGGAGUGUUACUGACGCUUAAGCUCGAAGGUGCGGGUAUCGAACAGGAUUAGAUACCCUGGUAGUCCGCACGGUAAACGAUGGAUGCCCGCUGUUAGCGCCUGGCGUUAGCGGCUAAGCGAAAGCAUUAAGCAUCCCACCUGGGGAGUACGCCGGCAACGGUGAAACUCAAAGGAAUUGACGGGGGCCCGCACAAGCGGAGGAACAUGUGGUUUAAUUCGAUGAUACGCGAGGAACCUUACCAGAUCUUGACAUCCUG